RNAcentral lists this ribosomal RNA (409 nucleotides) under uncultured Nitrososphaerota archaeon. RNAcentral describes it as "bacterial SSU rRNA". It matches the Rfam family "Archaeal small subunit ribosomal RNA", at positions 452 to 861 of the family's 1478-position model. The record is from RNAcentral. Lineage: Archaea; Thermoproteati; Nitrososphaerota.
CUGGUGUCAGCCGCCGCGGUAAUACCAGCACCCCGAGUGGUCGGGACGAUUAUUGGGCCUAAAGCAUCCGUAGCCGGUUCUACAAGUCUUCCGUUAAAUCCACCUGCUUAACAGAUGGGCUGCGGAGGAUACUAUAGAGCUAGGAGGCGGGAGAGGCAAGCGGUACUUAGUGGGUAGGGGUAAAAUCCGUUGAUCCAUUGAAGACCACCAGUGGCGAAGGCGGCUUGCCAGAGCGCACUCGACGGUGAGGGAUGAAAGCUGGGGGAGCAAACCGGAUUAGAUACCCGGGUAGUCCCAGCUGUAAACGAUGCAGACUCGGUGAUGAAUAGGCUUCGUGCCUAUUCAGUGCCGCAGGGAAGCCGUUAAGUCUGCCGCCUGGGGAGUACGGUCGCAAGACUGAAACUUAAAG